Molecule: ribosomal RNA, 254 nt
Filed under: uncultured bacterium
Lineage: Bacteria
Description: partial 16S ribosomal RNA
Rfam family: Bacterial small subunit ribosomal RNA
Source: RNAcentral
UACAGAGGGGGCAAGCGUUGUUCGGAAUUACUGGGCGUAAAGGGCGCGUAGGCGGCCUGCUAAGUCGAACGUGAAAUCCCCGGGCUCAACCCGGGAACUGCGUCCGAUACUGGCAGGCUUGAAUUCGGGAGAGGGAUGCGGAAUUCCAGGUGUAGCGGUGAAAUGCGUAGAUAUCUGGAGGAACACCGGUGGCGAAGGCGGCAUCCUGGACCGAAAUUGACGCUGAGGCGCGAAAGCCAGGGGAGCAAACGGGG